GGUAGGACUCGUGCUGAUAACGUG
Molecule: non-coding RNA, 24 nt
Filed under: Arabidopsis thaliana (thale cress)
Lineage: Eukaryota; Viridiplantae; Streptophyta; Magnoliopsida; Brassicales; Brassicaceae
Source: RNAcentral